GGGUCAGUAGGUUGGUCGUGCCACCGGUACGUACUGGUCUCACUGAUUCCUCCUUCCUGAAGAACCGUAAUGCCAUUAAUUAGGUGAUGCGGGGAAACAGGACUGUUACUUUGAAAAAAUUAGAGUGUUUAAAGCAAGCUAACGCUUGAAUACAUUAGCAUGGAAUAAUGAAAUAGGACGAUCGAUCCUAUUUUGUUGGUUUCUAGGAUUGACGUA
RNAcentral lists this ribosomal RNA (216 nucleotides) under Glomeromycotina sp. RNAcentral describes it as "partial small subunit ribosomal RNA". The stretch from base 92 to 216 matches the Rfam family "Eukaryotic small subunit ribosomal RNA", at positions 738 to 864 of the family's 1831-position model. Lineage: Eukaryota; Fungi; Glomeromycota. The record is from RNAcentral.